UACCACAAUUUGUUCAGUCAUUCCCUCUGCCAUGGCACCUCUGCCAUUUUUUCUUAAUGGGACCAACUCUCCUCUGUCUCUGCCAAACAGUCCCACUCUUAUCUGACCUCACAAUAUUUCCCACUGGGGCCAAAGAGAAGCUGAAGCACUUAUCUGGGGAACAAGCUCUAAAAGGCAGGCACUUGGAGAAAGGACCUCUUGGAGUAGAAGCCAUCAUUGCCAAACAGGGAAAAAAAAAUCAAAACCCAAUACAAGAAACAACAGAUUAAAAUAAAAAAAAAACUGGAAAGAACUACACAAGAUAAUGAACAAUGAAAUUAAUAGAACCAGAAGAACGUUAUAUACAGCCACAGAAUUAAUGCUGGAAGAAUUAAAUAAAUGCUGGAAGAAUUAAAACUGUGAAUGUUACCUCCAGAAAGAGAACAGAAAGUUUGUGGACUCCCCAGAGGUACAAAUCUUGGUGUAAAAAUAGCCACACCUAAAAACCACAGCAGCCACAAUCUGUUCAAGAAGUGGCAUCCAGAAAGCUGGAUCAUAGAGCUAUGUCUUUGAAAGGAGUUAAACCCAAAUUUCUGAGGGACCUAUGCUUUGCCAAGAAGCAUAACAAGAAGGGAGGAGGAGACUCCAGAGCCUUUUGGAAUCAAAACCGGAAAGGAUUCUUGUUGGAGCAACUAUGAGAAGAACCUAGAGAUGGGACAAGGAAAUGGUAUGAGGCUAAAAGCAUCUGGCCUAGAUCCAUGGACAAUUAAUCAACCGAGGAUCAAAUGAGUUGCCAUAUGUAAAAUGCGUUGGAAAUUUUAAAGGGCUCCAUAAAUGGGAGCUGUUAUUAUUAAAAUCAUAACUAUAAACUUUUAAGAUGUUGCAACUUCAUAAUUUCAUCAUAUUUGUUUGUUUGUUUUUAAUACCUGUCUGUUUCCCUGUUAUUAUCAAUAAAAC
This is a non-coding RNA of Monodelphis domestica (gray short-tailed opossum), 936 nucleotides long. NCBI's taxonomy places the organism in Eukaryota, Metazoa, Chordata, Mammalia, Didelphimorphia, Didelphidae. The record is from RefSeq and is a predicted model, not a curated record.